UAGGGAAUCUUCGGCAAUGGACGGAAGUCUGACCGAGCAACGCCGCGUGAGUGAAGAAGGUUUUCGGAUCGUAAAGCUCUGUUGUUAGAGAAGAACGUUGGUAGGAGUGGAAAAUCUACCAAGUGACGGUAACUAACCAGAAAGGGACGGCUAACUACGUGCCAGCAGCCGCGGUAAUACGUAGGUCCCGAGCGUUGUCCGGAUUUAUUGGGCGUAAAGCGAGCGCAGGCGGUUCUUUAAGUCUGAAGUUAAAGGCAGUGGCUUAACCAUUGUACGCUUUGGAAACUGGAGGACUUGAGUGUAGAAGGGGAGGGUGGAAUUCCAUGUGUAGCGGUGAAAAGCGUAGAUAUAUGGAGGAACGCCGGUGGCGAAAGCGGCUCUCUGGUCUGUAACUGACGCUGAGGCUCGAAAGCGUGGGGAGCAAACAGG
RNAcentral lists this ribosomal RNA (429 nucleotides) under Bacillota bacterium. RNAcentral describes it as "Firmicutes bacterium partial 16S ribosomal RNA". It matches the Rfam family "Bacterial small subunit ribosomal RNA", at positions 355 to 776 of the family's 1533-position model. The record is from RNAcentral. Lineage: Bacteria; Bacillati; Bacillota.